This 427-nucleotide ribosomal RNA is filed under the name uncultured bacterium. Its description in RNAcentral is "partial 16S ribosomal RNA". It matches the Rfam family "Bacterial small subunit ribosomal RNA", at positions 355 to 774 of the family's 1533-position model. The record is from RNAcentral.
UGGGGAAUAUUGGACAAUGGGCGAAAGCCUGAUCCAGCCAUGCCGCGUGUGUGAAGAAGGUCUUCGGAUUGUAAAGCACUUUAAGUUGGGAGGAAGGGCAUUAACCUAAUACGUUAGUGUUUUGACGUUACCGACAGAAUAAGCACCGGCUAACUCUGUGCCAGCAGCCGCGGUAAUACAGAGGGUGCAAGCGUUAAUCGGAAUUACUGGGCGUAAAGCGCGCGUAGGUGGUUUGUUAAGUUGGAUGUGAAAGCCCCGGGCUCAACCUGGGAACUGCAUCCAAAACUGGCAAGCUAGAGUACGGUAGAGGGUGAUGGAAUUUCCUGUGUAGCGGUGAAAUGCGUAGAUAUAGGAAGGAACACCAGUGGCGAAGGCGACCACCUGGACUGAUACUGACACUGAGGUGCGAAAGCGUGGGGAGCAAACA